GGAGGAGCUUGCUCUUCUGGAUGAGUUGCGAACGGGUGAGUAACGCGUAGGUAACCUGCCUGGUAGCGGGGGAUAACUAUUGGAAACGAUAGCUAAUACCGCAUAAGAGUAGGUGUUGCAUGACAUUUGCUUAAAAGGUGCAAUUGCAUCACUACCAGGUGGACCUGCGUUGUAUUAGCUAGUUGGUGGGGUAACGGCUCACCAAGGCGACGAUACAUAGCCGACCUGAGAGGGUGAUCGGCCACACUGGGACUGAGACACGGCCCAGACUCCUACGGGAGGCAGCAGUAGGGAAUCUUCGGCAAUGGACGGAAGUCUGACCGAGCAACGCCGCGUGAGUGAAGAAGGUUUUCGGAUCGUAAAGCUCUGUUGUAAGAGAAGAACGAGUGUGAGAGUGGAAAGUUCACACUGUGACGGUAUCUUACCAGAAAGGGACGGCUAACUACGUGCCAGCAGCCGCGGUAAUACGUAGGUCCCGAGCGUUGUCCGGAUUUAUUGGGCGUAAAGCGAGCGCAGGCGGUUAGAUAAGUCUGAAGUUAAAGGCUGUGGCUUAACCAUAGUACGCUUUGGAAACUGU
This 577-nucleotide ribosomal RNA is filed under the name uncultured Streptococcus sp. RNAcentral describes it as "bacterial SSU rRNA". It matches the Rfam family "Bacterial small subunit ribosomal RNA", at positions 72 to 636 of the family's 1533-position model. Lineage: Bacteria; Bacillati; Bacillota; Bacilli; Lactobacillales; Streptococcaceae. The record is from RNAcentral.